RNAcentral lists this ribosomal RNA (250 nucleotides) under uncultured bacterium. Its description in RNAcentral is "partial 16S ribosomal RNA". It matches the Rfam family "Archaeal small subunit ribosomal RNA", at positions 474 to 724 of the family's 1478-position model. The record is from RNAcentral.
UACCAGCUUCUCGAGUGGUGGGGGCGAUUAUUGGGCCUAAAGCGUCCGUAGCCCGCUUGUUAAGUCCCUCGUCAAAUCCGACGAUUCAAUCGCCGGGCCGCGGGGGAUACUGUCAAGCUAGGGGGCGGAAGAGGCUAGCGGUAUUCUUAGGGUAGGGGUGAAAUCCUAUAAUCCUAGGAGGACCACCAGUGGCGAAGGCGGCUAGCUAGAACGCGCCCGACGGUGAGGGACGAAAGCUGGGGGAGCAAAC